CGCUGCCUCUCCUCACGGCUGCUCUGUCCUCCGCGGCCCGCACGGUCCCGGGCCCUCGCUGCGGUGCGCUGUGCGCGGCCGUUCGGCAGUGCCGUGCCGCGCCGCCCUCCCAUCGCCAGCCCAGGCCCUGCGCCGCGCCAACGCGGCCUCCUCCGCCUCUCGGCUCCAGUCGCUGCGAGGGGGAGGCCGGACUCUGGAACGAGGCUGCUGCCGCCGCUCGCAUUCCUGCUGCAAGGGCCUCCCCUUCAGACGGCCUUUGCCAGAGCAGAACUUUUAAAAACGCUGUACAUAGGCGCUGCUGCUUUUUCUCCUCUUCGUCUCUCUCUCUCUCUCUUUCUCUCUUUAUUUAACCCUCCUUUCACUGCUGAAGAACGGAUUAAUUUUCCGUCUCUUCUGCGCUUGGCUCGGCCGUACUGUAUAUCGUUGCAUUGAGGUUAAAACUCCCGAGUAUUUUCCCCUCCGCUGAUCCUUUUCUCUCCCUCUCUCUCCUCUCUCUCUUUUUUUCCUCGGUUAAGGGGAAUUGAUUUCUUUGGCCGAGCUAGUUUGUAUGCUGUGAGAACGAGGGCUUUUAUUUGUCACGUCCCCCCCCCCACCCCCCCUCCCAGUACCGGCACACCGCGCAGCUCACGGAACGGCCGCUCGCUCUGCCUGCCUCUCUACUACAGCUCCGUUCCCGUGGCUGUAGGUGUCCGUGCCGCACGGAGCGGGGCUCCGGUUCCCCCCCCCCCGCCUCCCCGAGCACUCUGCGAUGGCCGACACGGGGGUGUGCGGCGGGCGGGGGCCGUCUGCUCCCCGCGGCGGAGGGGAGAGGGAUGUGUAGCAAAACGCUGCCUCUGGGACAGCCUCCCAUUGUUGUCGCUGGGAGCUGGCAGCAGCUGUGGCAGGGGGAGCGUGCGGAGGAGCCGCCAGCCGCCCGCUAGUGUCUCAGCCUGGAUGUAGCCCAGAUUUGUGAAAUGCACAGCAGUAGAAUUUGAGUUUUCAAGUGAAAUAACUCUUCCUUGUCUGAACCGUCCUUCAAAAUGCGGGAUUAGAAGUUUCCUACCACAUCAUCUUUAGGACUCCCAGAAAAUUCUUCUGCAGCUUGUGGCUGCCCGGAAAAGGAUGUUGUAGUAGUCUGGCAAAAUGAACUCAAGAUGCACAAGAAGAACAUACUAGAGACUGAUCUGCAAGGUGUUCAGGUUCACUGAUAAGAUGCAAACCAGAAUCUGCCUGUUGGUUAUCUUUCCAGACAUGUUUCAGAGCUAAUAAGGGAGACUGACGAGUACCAUGACUUCAAACAGAAGCAUUUUGAGAAAUGACCUAGGGGGAGCCAAGUUACAAGUUGAACUCUAACCAAGUUAGAAGAGGAAAUAAGUGAAGAUUGGUCAUGUAUGCAAAGAAAAUGACAAGGUAUCUAAGGCAAUCACAAUUCAGAUUAAUUUCUUGCUGGUGUAGAGGUCUUCAUGGUACAUUAAUUCUGGCAAUAAACUUUAAAAAUAGUCCUUGGAAAAGAUGUUUUGAAAAGAACUUUUUUCUACUGUUUCAUUGCCAGAGUAAGUAUAUGUCUUUAUAAGUGUCUUGAAGAUACAUCUUUGAAGUCAUCAUUGUGUUGAAUUGUAGCUGUAUUUCUAGAAGUAAAUGAUGAUCGCAUUCGUGAGCUGUGUUUUUGGCAGAAGUGAGUAAAAACACUGCUUCUCCCAACACCAAAAUAAAAUCUUGCUAGACGCUGUCAAUUUCUGAGGCUUUAAAGUAAUCAUUUCAUGAAUUCAUUUAAAUCACUGCACUUGAACGCUCAGUGCACAAGUUAAACCAUUUUCUCUUUUCUUUGUCAUGUAUAACCAUUACAAAUAAAUGUGCUAGUACUUGUUUUGCUCUGUAUUUAAAGGAUGUGUUCUCUUAAGUUGUUCUGCAGAUUUGUAACUUGAGGAAUGUAAAAUCAGUACUACUGACAACUCAUAUCCCUCAAAUACUCUCAAUAACGUGCAUUUGUAAUAUUUACACAGUGGCUGCUAAGAGGCUGACACAAGGCUAUAUACCACUUAAGAUCUGAGGUUAAAUGGUUCUUCAGUGAUGCAUAAAAUUUGUAUUGAUCAUCUGCCCGGCACUGAAUUGAACCUAUUAAUGGAUAAGCCUUACAGUAUCACUAUGAGAAAGGGAAUUAUGAUCUCAAUUUAAAAAGUGGUAAAACAGAGCCCCAAGGGCUCAAGUAAUCAUUUCAAGUCGUACAGGAAGUAUAUAGCAGAGCUCUCAAUCUAAGCCAGCUCACCUGACCAACCAUCCUUGUGUUUGUUGUCCUUUUCAUCAUAUUCUGUCAGGUGUGGAAUGUGUAUGUCAACAGCUAUGCAUUCCUUAUGCACUGCUUUAACAGUCAAGUUCUCUUGCAAAGUAACUUAAAACACACAGGGAAUGUGAAUUGUGAAUCUCUCUUGUCCAUAAAGAACACGACACAUGAUGCAAAAGGGCCAGCAUAAACAACAUAAGUUGGAUUUUAAUAAGUUAAAAACAAAAUGUACAGGAAGACCUGUUGUUGUUAUGACCUCUCUAUUUUUUCUCUUUUUAAUUCUUUUCCCUUUUCUUUGCAUGGUGUUCUAGAUCUUUCUGUAGUACAGAGAGGAACUGCUUGUAUAGAACAAUUAAUGCUUUUGCUUUUGUAAUCUUGCUGAAUGUCUAUUUGAUUUCUUUAGCAAAUGUCAGGUCACAUGUUGGCUGAUUGCGUUCUGAAACUGAAGUAUAAAUCAUCUUCUCAAGUGACUAACUGUCAUUUUUCUUUGCAAAAUAUUUUUCUAUCUCUACCUUAUGUAACUCUUACAGUUGCUGACAUUUUCCUAAAAGCCCUGUUCAUUUGACACUCAAGAUUUCAGUAUAAAACUAUAGAUGAGAAUAGAUAACUCUUUUGCCUUCGCUUAGUACCUGUUUCCUUUACCAUUAGUUGAAGAAAGGAGUAUUAUGCAUUUCUGAGUCAUACUGUAUAAAGGUACUUUAUUUUAUACAUCAUUAGAAUUUUAAAAGAAGAAGAAGGAAAAGCUGUACCAUAGGUGAAAGCAAGAGUUAACAUGCUUGAACUGUAGAAAAUGGCUAUUAAAUUUUGAUGGAUGCUAUCACUGAUAGAUCAAAUAAAUGUUGAUGUAGUGAUGUAGAGGGUAUGGAUAAAAAGAUGAGUGCUACAGAAAUGGUUGUUAGUAUUAAUGGAAAACAUAUAUAAAAAUAUAUAAUCCUCAGCCAAAGACAUGGAUCUACCCAGAAGAAAAGAACAGAGUAUGGACUUCUUAUAUGCCUUGAGUUCUGUCUAUAAGAGUGCAGCCCUAUAUAGCUGUGUCUUGUCACAGAUUAAGAUUGCAUAUACUUGGCCAUGCCUUAUGUUUUAUUGUGCCCGAUUCCUGCUGGCUUAGAGAUGAUAUUCUAGUAUUAAUAAUCUGCUUUACGUAUUUAUAUGUUGGUAGAAAGCUGUUAAUGAGUAUUCCUAACAGAUCUUUUUAAUCAAACAUAAAAUGUAAGAAUUUCCUAGGAAAAAAUGGCUGCAUAACAUGGAAACAGUUGGUAUUAAAUUCCUGUUGGUGUGGCCUUUGACUCGCAGCUUCUGCUGAGUCCAGCUGAGAGAUAAAUGAGAUAAUUUUGCUGGUGUUUCAGGUCAGCACUUAUGCCAAUCUCACCAUCAUGGACAGUGAAUUCAAAUGUUUCUGAACAGCUCUGGAAAAACACAUUCAAGAAAAGCUGUGUUCCAUCUGACAGAAUGCUACUUUUAAGCACUUAGGGUGAUCUGGAAUGCCAGGACUUUGGUCCUGAGAAUUGGUCCGCUAUUCCUAAAGCAUCCAAGCUCAAAUCUUUUAGUUAAAAGUCUCUAGAUUGUUUAAAAUUUAUGGGUAGAUGCAGGGAAUUUUAAGACUCCUGAAGGAGUCUGUAGGGGUAGGUUUAAAAUGUCCAUAUAAAUACAGUCUUAAUCUCUAAAAAAACAAUCUGAAUUGAUUGAGUACUGAUGUAAAUGUAAUGUAAAAGAGGAUUGCUGUGCUUAGAAAGGGAAGUCAGAUCUUUAUCUAAAUAUCUCUGCUUUAUAAUAAGAUACAGUAUGAUAACAUGCACAGUGAACAGUUGAAAUCAGCACAGACACAUCUGAGAAGGGACACUUUAGUCACGUAAAGAAAGGUGUGAUAAGUACCUUCCUCGAAAGCCAGACUCCCUGCAGUUUAGAGCAGCCUAUUUUAUUGACAUGUGUGACAUCUCCUGAUUGUGUUUUGGGGGUUUGUAGAAUUACUGUACCCUUCUUAGCAAAGGCAGAUGUAGGAUUGGGUCUCCAAGAAACAGAUUCCAUCUAUCCAUUUACAUACCAGUCUGACCUUACCACUGAAGAUUCUUAAAGCUGGUUCAUGGACAUCAUAAAUUUGUACUCCUCAGUUCAUAAAGGUAGGGACAUAAUAUUUUACAGGUGUGGAAGUGAAACAUAGAUGUGAAUAUUUUAAGACAUAUAGCCUUGACAAUGAUACUUAAAAUCAUUCAUCAUGGAUCAGCUCAGGGAAAUAAGCAGGAUUGUAGUUUGCCUUUGAAAGUCUGACUAGUUACUAUAGCACCUGAAGAAACCAAGUGAACUGAACUUAUUUUUCUGAGAAUACUUGUACAAGAGGACAAAGAAAAUCUUGAAAAUCUGUUGUACGCUCGUGAAAUGAAUCCAACUCUCUGAAAUUUCUGAAUAUCUGAAGAACUUUUCUGUGUUCCACCUUACUCUUCUCUGAUUUGAAAACAUCUUUUUUGAGUUCUUGGAAAACUGUGCAUUUCUACUGUGUGCUGUUCUCAUUAAAUCUAUCUUUCUCUUGCUACAAGCUCUGAUGGAGGGGGACUUCCAACAGUACUCUCUCAUAGGUCCCCCACUGCAUAUUAGACAACACUGGGUCAUGAACACUAAAGUCUCCAAAGGCCUACUGGAUGAUCCCCUUUUAAGAUCUCUGGUGGUACAAGUUGUCCCAGAUUAGAAGCUAUUUGCAGGCUUCGGGAAUGUGAAGAGUAUGUCUCCCCAGUUACAUAUCUCAGGAGAUCUGCAAAGAAAAAGAGGAUGAUUAAAGUUUAUGGCUUGCAAAAGAAGGAAAUCAAGGGGAUUAUUUCUCGGUGUUCUUUUUAUGAGAUUUUUUUUUUAAAGGAAAAAUAUUUUGACUGACAGGCCUUUGAACAUGCUGUGAGUUCUGUAUUUGCAGUAAGGCCUGGAGGAACAAGCUUUUAUUUUCUACUAGAAGACUGCAGUCUUUAGCACUCUCAGUAUUAAGAUCAUUGCAGGCAGGCAUCCCUGCUGAUAUUACUAAAAGGAACUUUAAUCAAUCUUGAAAAAAGACUUCAAUAACCUGAAUUAUGGCCACUAGUGCUAGACCUUUGAUAGGAGAAUGGGUCUAGCAGUAUUGAUUUUCUCACUCUUAGCAUUUCUUCUGAUAUUUUUGCCACCUACUAGUAAUGUGUAUUUUAAUAAAACUUUAUGAACUGCCUUUUCCCAGCAAUCUUUCUGUUUUUAAGUGGAAAAUUUUUUACAUCAUUUGCAUGCUUUUUUUUCAUUUUGAAACAAAUACAAUUUUUGUGGAAGAUUGCGGAUUCCAAAACCAAUCUAAAAAUAGCAACUUCCCUCUCUAAUUAUGACACAGCCCUUUGUCAGUACUACCAGAUGGGGAAGAUGAGCCAGAAAAUAGUAUGAAUAGUCACCAGUUGUCUUCUUUCAUUUCUCUUUUUCUGUGAGAAAGCAAGAUCUUUUGCAUUUUCUUGACAUUUUAAGUGCUAGACUUUAUGUUUAGAAAAACUUAGAGCUGGUUUUGACAAAACAGCCUCGAGAGGUUUAGAGAAUUCAGAGCCUUCCAGGGACAUCAGCAGAAUUGAGAGAACUGAUAGAAAGGACCUAUGGGCUAGGAAAUCUGAUGGGGUGCACACAAGAGUGGUUUACUAUUUACAUGUAAAGAAAAAUAGGGAAAAAAAAAAGCUGAAACUACUAAUCUUGAUAAUAUUUUUCUAGAUUACAGCAAAGCUCAUAGGUGUCAUCUUGCAUAUGGCCUGUGGCCUUUUGACCUUCUGAAAGAUGGCCUUGUGGUUUCAUAGGUUAGCUCUCCAUGAUUAAGUUGUUACUGAGGAGACCGCUAACACUUUUCCACAGCACUGUUGCUGUACCUUUAUAGUGACUGCUAAAUGAUGUGGUACGUACCACAGAGACCACUGUCCAGAGGAAAGUGCUGUCAGAGAGUGAGAGAGGGUUAACCACAAAAUAUUUACAAUUUUAGCAUGCACUGAAAAAAAUAUAUAGCUGAAAACAGUAUUUUCCUUUUGCUCUCUUUGUGCAUUGUGGUUUUAGAUUGGCUGCAAAAAUGUUUCUGUAUAGUGUGGAUUGUCUACAGCAGAUGGCAAACAAUGAUUAACCAUUUCCUUCCAACUGCUCUUUAAUGGGCAGAAACCAAGGUGAACCAGUUACUCGUAUUAAAUUAAGCUGAAAAAAAUCAUGUAGUUAUGAGUGUAAAUGUUCUCAUCUAAUAUAAACUUUCCAAGAAUAGUGCAGUUGGGGCUGGAUGUCUUCUUUCAAGCUUAUUUCCAGUGGCAGAGGAUGUAAAGAACUAAAUGAUAGUAAAGUAUAAUUAUAGUUUUUAAUUUACUUUUAAAUUAUUCCAUUUUUAAGUGAAAUACUGAUUUACACAAGUGCUGGACCUCUGAACUACUUGGAUUUGCUACUGUAUCUUAACCAAAAGUAAGUUUCUUGUAUGCUGCUGAUGAGACUUAAUAUGUUUUCAUAAAAUAAAGCUUCUGUAAGAUUAGAGUGGAAGUACUGCUCUAGCAUUAAGAGCUAGGGUAAUAGGAUGCACAUCUGCUAUAUAUUCACAUUUCUAAGCUGUUCUACUUUUCGUACAUUAAGGCCAAAGGAGGCCUAGGAUAGAUGCUUGCUUUCUUUUAAUUUGAAAGCACAAAAAAAAACCCAAUACCUUCUUAAUAUUGUUAAUUUAAGAAGUAGUGUCAUCAGUGAGAUGAUAGUGAUACAGGCUGGGAGCCAGCUGUGUAGGAAUCAGUUCAGUAGAAACAGUGCUGGUAGUCCUGAUACUCAAGGUGAAUAUCAGGUAGCCAUAUGCCCUUCCAGCAGAACCAGCUUGCAUUCAGUGUUGCAUUGGCAAGACUAAAGGCAGCAGCUCUAGAAAAGGGGCCCUCUCCUUUUAGCACUUGUGAGACUCUAUUUGGAGUUCUGUGCCCAGUUCUAAGGUACAAGGUGGCAACCACCUUGCUAGCACAAGUCCAGUGGAAGGCGCCAGUACGUGGCUGGAGUACAUGGUGAACAAGGAGAGACUGAAAGAGCUGGGUCUGUACAGCUGGAGAAAGAAAGGCAGAAGGGCAACCCUACUGCUAUCUACAGCUACCUUAUUGAUGUUAGGGUAAGGAAAAGAUGGAGCCAGGCUCUUCUCGAAGGUGCCACAGAAACAGAAUGAGGGCAAACAGACACAAGCUGGAAAAUGAAAAGUUCCAGUCAGAUAUAAGGAAAAGCAUUUUACCAAAGUGUGUUGAAACACUGCAACAAAUGUCCACAUUGACUAUGAUAUCUCCAUCCCUAGAAGUAUCCAAGAUUCAUCUGGGUAUAGACUUUAGCAACUUGAUCUCAUUAGACCUGCUUUGAGGAGGAUUAGGUAUUUCCAGAGGCCUUCCGAGCUCCAUUAUUCUAUGGUUAUUAGAUUCUGUGAUAAGUAGGACCAGUUUUUUUUUCUACAUGACUCUCUCUGAAGUGAACUCAUAGCUUCAUUGAAAUCAAAUAACAAGAUUCUUAUUGACUUCGUGAUACUCUUUUGUGUGAUUUGGAGGGUUCUUUGAAAUCAAAUAAUACUUUUCAUGUUAGGAGAACUUCAGAGAAAAGCUUUUGUUUUUUUCUGAAAGUUUAUUUCACAACCAACAGAUUCCUUUAGCAUAUAUGGAUAAAGUUAUCCAUAUAGAAGAUAAAGAUUUUUUGCUCUAAAGGAGCAAAAAAAAAACCUGAUAUUUUUCUCUCAAAUUUGUACCUGUAUUCCUGUAAGCUCAAGUAUUUAAUUGACUGGCUUAAAAGUGGAGGGGAAAUUGGUGAUAGAAGAAGAGUGUCGUUCUCAUGAUCCCGAAAAUAGAAAGUAUUUCAAACCCUUGAAAUCUGUUGUCCAGCUUUGACAUUAACAAAGUAAAUCAUACAAAGAAAUAUUAUAUAAAAAGCCCAAAUCCUACUGUGAGCUUAAUUACAUUUACAUGUUUACAUUUUACAACUUCCUGUGACAAAGCGAAUAAAAUGCCGUGUGAACAGAGUGUAGUAUUAAAGCAAAUGUUCAUUUACUGUAUUUCUGAAGAGGGCAAAGAGUUAUUAAUGUUGCUUAGAUUGGCUUUUUUUAACUGCCACUUGUAAGUAGAGUGUAUAUAGCCUUUUUGUGCUAUGUUCAUAUGAUGAAAACAUCAAGGGCGUGUUUUCUCCUCUUACCCAACCCACUUUUUCUACUUUGUAAUUUUCCAUAUGCUGUUGACUACAAUAUUUUUAAUUGAGUGUGGUGCAUACAUGCCUGGAUAGUGAUAAAUCACACUGCAGACUAUGUGGCCCAUAAAAAUUUUAUGCAGCUAUGAGAAGAAGUUACUGUCAUUACAGGACCAUUUGGGGAACCAGAGUACUUGUUUCAGCAGUCUGGGUUUGAUCUUUUAAUGCUAUCAGUGUUUUGGAUGAGUGCAGAUGCAUACAUGAUGAAUUUAGAAUGUUCCGGGAAUACUAGAAAACGUCUAAAUACCUCCAGUGUUGAGGUUAAAUUCUCAGUUUGGAAAUUCUUCUACCCAAAUCUUCAUAGCAUACCUUUCCAUAAGAAGAGUCUGGAUCUAAGAAACAUCUAUCGCUAUGUUAAUUCUUAUGCACAAAGUUCCAAUGUUCACCAUUUGUUGUGAUUUCAUAGCAAUAUUAAUAAAGUAUUGUUGUUUCUUAUCCCCCAACUCUUCAGAACUUGUUUUCUUUGCAGCAUUUUCCUUGUAGUCAGGAGGGAAUUUCACAUGCUUUUAGAAAAUCUGACAAAAUACAAAAGUCAUUAGCUGGAACACAAAAAAACAAGUGGCCUAAGAGCUGUGAUUCUGAGAACAGGAAAUAUUGAUUUUGUGAUUCAGGAAGAUUUUAUUUAAUGGGGCAUUUAAACGUUUGUAUGUGAAUCUGUUCCAUGACAUACACUGCAGUUAGCAACAGCUUUUGUGUAUCAUGUCUAAUAUACCCAUACACUUCUGACAGUAUGUAUAUUCAUGAGAUUCAUAACAUUUUCCUGCAGUUGUCCUCAUAACAGAUUUCAUUUCAAAGCAGCACUUCAUUGAUGUAGAACACUGACGCAUUGUACAUAUAAUUGUUUCUCAUCUGUAUGAUUAUUUUGUGACACCUAGUGGAUAUAUUAAUAGUUGUGCCAGUUCAAAUUUCCUUGGGUUGUUUGGGUUGUCUGAAUAUACAUUCUGGCCUGCAAACUGAAUUCACAUCUUAAACACAUCGAAUCUCGGUCUUUCUUUCUUACUUUCUCUCUUUUUCCUUUUUUUUUUUUUUUUUUUUUUAAUUUUUAUUUGACUUUGAUCCUGGAAUGGUUUGGUCAUAAUCAGCUGAACAAAUACUCAGCACCCAAAAGUCCUUAGGAAAUCCCAUUAGUCCUAAAACAAUACAAGGUAGUAAAAAUUUGGAAAUGUCACGAUACUGUUAAGUCAGAGUCCCUACAUGUGCAGUGUGUGAUCUUCACCCAUCAGCUUUUUCUACUGCAUCAAUUUUUCUGUAUAGUAGAUCAAGUAUGAAGUUCCCUUUGGAGUUGAGCAUGCGUUACAUAAAAUUGUGAAAGGUUACAAAGAAGUACUCAGACUUUUCGCCCUAUGGGGGCUGUAACAAAUCCAAUUCCUUUACUGUUCAUAGAGAAUGAAAUGUGAUAAAUAAUUAAAAUAUUUUUCUAUAAACAUGAGAAUGUAUUUAGAAAAUUUAUAUCAAUAAAUGUAGUCUAGAAAUGCCUUAAACGCAUGACCCACUUUCGUGACUAAGAUAUAUCAUAUGAAGUAUAUCUUAAUUUACAUUCUGAGCCUGAAGCUUAUUUUGAAGUCAUUUGUCCUACAGGCAGAGUUGAAUUACUGUCUUGUGUAUAUACUGCAAAUGCUGGGAAAUAGGAAAGUCAGUAUUUUCAUAUGCCUGGUUUUUAUGUUCAUAAAGGGAGAGGAAGUAUGUUUUUUUGGACAGUGGCCUCAAGUCGGUUUGCUCUGUUGGUGAGUUGAUGCUGUUGGUGUGCAUGUUUAUAACUUCAUAGAUGGUAUUCCUUACCCAGUAGGUCUUAAAUUCUGGCAUACCAGAGAAGAUGCAGGGCAAUAGCUCAUAUGAUAGCUAGGGUAUGAUUUUAGUAGUUCCUAACAAGGAUCUGAAAGGAGCUGUAAAGUGCAUUUAUUUAUAAAUAAGAGAUUGUGUAUUUUUUGUACUUGGGGAAUUUGAAUUGAGUUGUCCGGAAGACAUAAAUUAUCUUUGAAGACCAUCUUCAAAAUUUUAUGUUUUACCUUGUCUCUCUUCAGGGAGAAUUUCUUAUUUCCACUCCCAAAAGGCUUCAGAAUCAGAAAACGCAGUACUGAACUGUGUCUUUAAUACCAACUGAUAUGGCAUUCUUUUCCUGUACUCUUCAGAGUUGCUUAUCAUAACAUUCCUCUUGUGACUUUGGUUUAUGUAAAAUUAGAGCCUGUAGCAACAACAUCAUGAAUAAUGGACACAAAGUUUCUAACACAUCAUUGAACGCUGGCAAAGAUCUGCUUACUCUCUACCACCUGAAGCCAUGGUUCGAGUUCAUUAAUGAAUGUUUAACUAGUGAAAGCUUUAGUCUCAAGUAAAAAGACUUAGACUGGAGUAAAUCUAUUGAGAGCCUCAGUCACCUGAGAAAACAAAAGGUUGUGCGGAGGGAGCUGAAAGCAGGCAGUGCUGUGUGUCUGGCCACCCGAGCUCCUUGCCUGCAAUUCAUGAAGGGUGUUCAUUGUGCAAACGUGUGCCGUAUCAGUGUCACUGCCCCAGUCACCCCAAGGCACUCCAGAUGCCAUGCUCAGCUCCCUUGGCACGCAUGUCUACAGCAGCUGCCCCCCUUGCACUUGACAUCAGCUUGCUAUGUUUGAAGUAUCCCUGCAGGUCAUGAUGCUGAGGGCCAGCACAGUCUGGGAUGCCUGGUCUUGCGGACUCCACAGGAUUGCUGCCACAUACAAGUUAGGGUGCAACAGCCCUGGCAAUGAUCAGCAACUUUUGGUGGUUUCCCCCCUCUCUUUUUUAAGGCUUGUGUUAUGUGAACUUAUCUAGGUCUUGGACUGGGCUUUGUGUUGGAUGGCUAACGAGACCAGUAAUUUCGUUAACUUGCGCAGUGAGUGUAUGUAUAAGCCUUCUUUCCAUUGGCAGUAACGAUAACCAGUAACAGUAACGAAUCAGAGCAGAGACAAAAGAGUUGUGGCAAAACCACCUGUGUUUCUUUUUUGAAUCAUACCACAAUUUGAGACAAUGUUGGAGAAUAACAAAGCUGUUACUGUACAUAGAGGUCAUCUGCUGGUAGCCAAAGAAAAACACUAAUUGAAAGAUAAAAGGCAUCUUAAUCAUUAGCAGCAUUGUUACCAGUAAAUUCAUUGAGGUUGCCAGGAGUCGUAGAUGUGAGACGUAAGGCCCAGUUCAGGCUCCAAAAGGAAGGCUAAGGGAGGGGACAAAAGACAGAACAUGAGCCAGACACAGCUGUGUCAGAAGCUAUCACAUCUCCAGAAGUUGAGGCGUGCAUGCAGCCUUCAGCUGUGUGAGUGGGCAGGCUCAGCAGAGGCCUUUGCUUCCAUGUCCCUUAACAGGUGGAGUUCUCUCAUUGUCACCUGAUACGCCAUGGAAAGAUGAAGCCUCAUCGCUCUCUGUGCUUAGUAUCCCCUUCCAGUGUAUUUCGGCACUGAUGUCCCCACAGAAGUCUCCCAUGGGUGAAGGUGGUACGUUAAUGCAGCAUGCUUCACUGGUGGGAGCUUCUUGCUGCAGCCUCACAGUGUUAGUUUGGUCCCUUGUUGAAACAGUAGUAGUCCUUACACAGACUGUGCUGGCUUUGAAUUUAGAACUAUUUAGGAUUCUAAACAAUGAUGCGGAUUGAUUGCAGUCCGGCACAGUCAGUGUAAAUACUUCUGCUUUUGCAAGUGAACUUUUUGUUCAGGUGUGUAGCCUCCAGAAAGAAAAAUACAAGUAACGAGAAAUAACCAGCCCAGUGCAGUUACGGUUUGCAAGGACUGCACAAGGAUUUUCUCUGUCUUAAUGUAUGUAGAUUUCCAGGCUUCUUCUUCUUCACCAUCAGGAUGAACCAAGCGCAGCAGCUCAAGCCAAAUACAGCCCGAACCUCGGAACGUUGUUCUGAGGUGGAAUUUAUUUUUUUUUAAGUGCUUGGCAGCAUUACUCAAAAUAACUGUUUGUGUUAUGGCCAAGUAUAUAGCAAGGUGGGUUGGAAGAUACUGGUCCUGGUUGUUCCUGCAGUUGGACUUGCUAUUUCCACGGGGAUCUGAGAAAGGUGUGUUUUUUGAAGAGCUGGGCAUCACUUACAAGUAAAAGAUAGGGUGUGUAGUUUAGGUGUUAUAUUUUAUGUUCAAAGAUAUUAAGCAAAUCCGGGUGACUUAAGCUGAGGAGACAGUUCUUCCAAAAAAAAAGAAAAUCCAAUAAUCAACAACCUAUAAUAAAAAUACUGUGGGGGAAGGGAGUCAUUGGUAUUUCGUUUUUCUAUCAUCUGUGUGCAUGUAGUCUGAGAUAGUGCAUGGAGAUGAAUUACGAAUGUUUAGGAAAUGCUUGCUGUUAAGGGAGGAGUUAUAUACACAUUUUGUUCUUUGCUAUCUCUGACAAGAGAAAAUAACACUGACACAUUUUCUUAGCUCUUAACAAGAAACAAUCCCUAAUUUGUCACAGCUUCACCUCCUCUUCCUGCAGAGACUCAUCUCCCUGAUAUCCAGCCCUUGCUUUUUUACCUUCAUGCUUGGUGAAAUGUGAAGAGUACCUGUAACAUUUGUUUUUCGUAAGACAUAUCUCACUUACUCCUGGUGGAUUUGCCCUUCCUACACAGGUUUUGUCUCCCGUGGAUGCUGGCUUCACCCCAUUUUUCCCAUUGGGAUCUGCCAAACUUCAUUUCUGCCCUUGAGAGCUAGGAAGCACAGCCCAGGGUGAGAUGCUGCUGCUGCUCCCACAGCUGUCCAUGUCACGCCCGGCAGCCAUCUUAGGCUGGACAGAAAGCCCACCAGGGCCAGCACAGCACAUCAGCUGUGAUUAUGCUAUGAGCAGUGGAAGAUCCCAUCGGUUGCUCUGAAACGUGACCUACCUACUUUGAGGUGAGAUCUGUUUUGUUGUAAAGCAUGGCUUUAGUUUUUCUGUGUGUAUCAUGGAUUCUUGUCUUUAAUUUGCAGUUAACAACAACAACAAAAAAGUUUUCCUUAGUGAAGAGAAGGCUCCGGGGAGACCUCAUAGUGUCCUUCCAAUACUUGAAGGGAGUACCCCUGUUUACAGGGGUAGAUAGUGAUAGGGCAAGGGGAAAUGGUCUUAAACUGAGACAGGGGAGGUUUAGGUUAGAUAUUAGGAGGAAGUGUUUCACACAGAGGGUGGUGAUGCACUGGAACAGGUUGCCCAAGGAGGUUGUGGAUUCCCCAUCCCUGGAAGCAUUCAAGCCCGGGCUGGAUGUGGCUCUGGGCAGCCUGGUCUGGUGGCUGGCGACCCUGCAUAUAGCAGGGGGGGUGAAACUAGAUGAUCUUUGAGGUCCUUUUCAACCUAGGCCAUUCUAUGAUUCAGUGAUUCUAAGUUAGCUUAUUAAGUUGGAGUAUUUGUUUGAAAUUUUAUUUAUUUAUAUUACAGGUAUGGACUGAUAUCAUAGUUUUUGUCACUUAUUUGGAUUUUUCCUGAGUGCGAUGUGUUGCAGUCCAUCAGACCAGGUGGUGGGGAGUGAGAGCACCCUCAACCUCUAGUGUUGGUGUGAGGUUACAGUACACUAGUGGCAAUUUUGCUAGUCAUAUUAACCAACGUCUGUGUAGUACAGUAGAGUACAUUUAGUUUAGCCAUUGAUUCAGUUGUGAGGUACUGUCCUUUAGAAGUAGCAUGUUGCUUAAGUAAGCCGUAACACUUUCUGACAGUCACCAAAUUCUUGGUUCAGUCUUAUAGAUUUACCCAUGCAGAACUUGGGAAAGUCAGUAAGAGCAACUGAGCUGUUCCACACUAGGAUAAGAGAGGAAUACCUAGAAGGCAAUGCAGAACAAAUCCCUCUAAUUCAGCAUUUAUUCUCUAAGUCACUGUGAUGCCUUUCUUGAAGUGACAAAACUGGUUUGUUAAGAUGCAGUCGUGUCAGAGCUGGAAGUACAAAAGUGCAUUUAUUAAAAAUGAAUUCUGUAUCCUCUUCCCUCUUGUGUAUCUUGUCACUGACAUGACUCCACACACUGCAAAUCUGUGAAACUUUUAAAACAUGAAACUAGAGCUCAUUAAGCAAAAUGUCAACUGGUGUAUAGCAAACUCUUUCAGAAUGAAGACUGAUAAUUUUUUGUCUCCAGAGUUUUUUGUCUUCUAGGUCAUCACCAAGCCAUCCAGCUUUCUGGGAAUAUAGUUUGUGGUUUCUGUGAUCGGAGUCUGACUGUCC
RNAcentral lists this long non-coding RNA (14552 nucleotides) under Gallus gallus (chicken). The record is from RNAcentral. Lineage: Eukaryota; Metazoa; Chordata; Aves; Galliformes; Phasianidae.